Molecule: ribosomal RNA, 460 nt
Filed under: uncultured bacterium
Lineage: Bacteria
Description: partial 16S ribosomal RNA
Rfam family: Bacterial small subunit ribosomal RNA
Source: RNAcentral
CCUACGGGAGGCAGCAGUGAGGAAUAUUGGUCAAUGGGCGCGAGCCUGAACCAGCCAAGUAGCGUGAAGGAUGACUGCCCUACGGGUUGUAAACUUCUUUUAUAAAGGAAUAAAGUGAGGCACGUGUGCCUUUUUGUAUGUACUUUAUGAAUAAGGAUCGGCUAACUCCGUGCCAGCAGCCGCGGUAAUACGGAGGAUCCGAGCGUUAUCCGGAUUUAUUGGGUUUAAAGGGAGCGUAGACGGGUUGUUAAGUCAGAUGUGAAAGUUUGCGGCUCAACCGGAGAAUUGCAAUUGAUACUGGCAGUCUUGAGUACUGUUGAGGUAGGCGGAAUUCGUGGUGUAGCGGUGAAAUGCUUAGAGAUCACGAAGAACUCCGAUUGCGAAGGCAGCUUACUAAACUACCACUGACGUUGAGGCUCGAAAGUGUGGGUAGCAAACAGGAUUAGAUACCCGAGUAGUC